Molecule: ribosomal RNA, 502 nt
Filed under: uncultured Sphingobacteriales bacterium
Lineage: Bacteria; Pseudomonadati; Bacteroidota; Sphingobacteriia; Sphingobacteriales
Description: bacterial SSU rRNA
Rfam family: Bacterial small subunit ribosomal RNA
Source: RNAcentral
CCUUGCCAGCCCGCUCAAGAACUCAAAGGAAUUGACGGGGCCCGCACAAGCGGAGGAGCAUGUGGUUUAAUUCGAUGAUACGCGAGGAACCUUACCUGGGCUCGAACGUAAGAUGACUGUAGGUGAAAGCUUACAUCUCUUCGGAGCAUUUUACGAGGUGCUGCAUGGUUGUCGUCAGCUCGUGCCGUGAGGUGUCGGGUUAAGUCCCAUAACGAGCGCAACCCCUACCUUUAGUUGCCAUCAGGUAAUGCUGGGGACUCUAAAGGAACUGCCUACGCAAGUAGUGAGGAAGGCGGGGAUGACGUCAAAUCAGCACGGCCCUUACGUCCAGGGCUACACACGUGCUACAAUGGCCGAUACAGAGGGCAGCUACCUGGUGACAGGAUGCAAAUCUCCAAAGUCGGUCUCAGUUCGGAUCGGAGUCUGCAACCCGACUCCGUGAAGUUGGAUUCGCUAGUAAUCGCGCAUCAGCCAUGGCGCGGUGAAUACGUUCCCGGGCCUU